RNAcentral lists this unclassified non-coding RNA (1188 nucleotides) under Hevea brasiliensis (rubber tree). Lineage: Eukaryota; Viridiplantae; Streptophyta; Magnoliopsida; Malpighiales; Euphorbiaceae. The record is from RNAcentral.
AGAACAGCAGAGUUUUGUUGAAAACAUAUGAAGUUAUGGUGAAGAAGUUUCAAUCUGAGAUUCAGAACAAAGAUUCUGAGAUUCUUCAGCUGCAGCAGCAGAUACUAGAGGCCAGUCAGAAGCGGAUUAAAUUGGAGAAAAACCUUAAGCUCAGGGGCUUGUCAGAGAAAGAAUCGGAGAAUGCAGUUAACGAGGAUGGGCAUUUCUCUGUGGACCUAACUCCUGAGCUUUUCAGGUCAGCCGUGGAAGGUGCUUAUAGGGCCAUUCACGACUUCUCUAAGCCACUGAUCAACAUGAUGAAAGCUGCUGGUUGGGAUCUUGAUGCUGCAGCAAACUCCAUAGAGCCAGAUCUAGUUUAUGCAAAGAGAGCUCACAAGAAAUAUGCUUUUGAAUCACAUAUCUGCCAAAGAAUGUUUGCUGAAUUUCAGAAUGAGUUCUUCUCUGUGAAAUAUGAGAAUUCAGCUGUCCCCAAUGAUAGUUUUUACCACCAGUAUCUUGCAUUACGGGAAUCAGAUCCACUGGAUGUUGUAGUCCAAAAUCCCAAGUCCCUUUUUGGGAACUUUUGCCGGAAGAAAUAUUUGGAGGUGGUUCAUUCGAAGAUGGAGUCUGCAUUUUUUGGGAACUUGGAUCAGCGAAACUAUAUUAUGAGUGGUGGACACCCAAGAACAGCUUUCUAUCAGGCCUUUCUGAAACUAACCAAGUCAAUUUGGCUUUUGCAUAGGUUGGCAUAUUCAUUUGAUCCUCCAGUCAGGGUUUUCCAAGUCCAGAGGGGAACCGACUUCUCAGAGGUUUAUAUGGAAAGUGUUCUGGAAAAUUUCACUGUAGAUGAAAACGAGAAGCCUAAGGUUGGUCUAAUGGUAAUGCCUGGUUUCUAUGUCGGGGGCAGUGCGAUCAAGUGCCAAGUCUACCUAACUGGCGUGAAGGUUACCGAAUGAUAUUAUAUCUAUCCUGUUUUCUGCUUUAUCAUUUAUGUUUUAGCAGGUGUUUUUCUUGUAACAUGCUGGUCAGUUUGAUGUAAAAUGUGUCUUGAGCUAAUGCCUAGAUAUCUCAAAGAUUGUAAGUUGGUCUGUAUCCCGACUAUAAGUUUUCUCAUGAACUUUUGCGUUUAUUCAUGAAAAAUACAUUUUGGUUCCAAAACUGAAUGUGUAUCGCAUAUAUGUUUGCCGGUAUGUCAAUGAUAGUACAUUA